RNAcentral lists this transfer RNA (72 nucleotides) under Camelus bactrianus (Bactrian camel). It matches the Rfam family "tRNA". Rfam says of the family: Transfer RNA (tRNA) molecules are approximately 80 nucleotides in length. Their secondary structure includes four short double-helical elements and three loops (D, anti-codon, and T loops). The record is from Rfam by way of RNAcentral. Lineage: Eukaryota; Metazoa; Chordata; Mammalia; Artiodactyla; Camelidae. RNAcentral also lists the same sequence under 1 other name.
GAGGGUAUAGCUCAAGUGGUAGAGCGCAUGCUUAGCAUACACAAGGUCCUGGGUUCAAUCCCCAGUCCCUCU